RNAcentral lists this ribosomal RNA (622 nucleotides) under Akkermansia muciniphila. Its description in RNAcentral is "bacterial SSU rRNA". It matches the Rfam family "Bacterial small subunit ribosomal RNA", at positions 37 to 680 of the family's 1533-position model. The record is from RNAcentral. Lineage: Bacteria; Pseudomonadati; Verrucomicrobiota; Verrucomicrobiia; Verrucomicrobiales; Akkermansiaceae.
UGGCGGCGUGGAUAAGACUUGCAAGUCGAACGAGAGAAUUGCUAGCUUGCUAAUAAUUCUCUAGUGGCGCACGGGUGAGUAACACGUGAGUAACCUGCCCCCGAGAGCGGGAUAGCCCUGGGAAACUGGGAUUAAUACCGCAUAGUAUCGAAAGAUUAAAGCAGCAAUGCGCUUGGGGAUGGGCUCGCGGCCUAUUAGUUAGUUGGUGAGGUAACGGCUCACCAAGGCGAUGACGGGUAGCCGGUCUGAGAGGAUGUCCGGCCACACUGGAACUGAGACACGGUCCAGACACCUACGGGUGGCAGCAGUCGAGAAUCAUUCACAAUGGGGGAAACCCUGAUGGUGCGACGCCGCGUGGGGGAAUGAAGGUCUUCGGAUUGUAAACCCCUGUCAUGUGGGAGCAAAUUAAAAAGAUAGUACCACAAGAGGAAGAGACGGCUAACUCUGUGCCAGCAGCCGCGGUAAUACAGAGGUCUCAAGCGUUGUUCGGAAUCACUGGGCGUAAAGCGUGCGUAGGCUGUUUCGUAAGUCGUGUGUGAAAGGCGCGGGCUCAACCCGCGGACGGCACAUGAUACUGCGAGACUAGAGUAAUGGAGGGGGAACCGGAAUUCACGGUGUAGCA